UUGUGAAGCUGACGCCAGUCUCGAGCAGUCUGAAGAACCUUCUGUGGAGAGGAGUGCCAAAGAACCACGGUGCGGUGAAGAAGGAAGCCAGACACAGAAAACUGUUUCCAGAGAGAUCUCGGAGAACAGCUUCUGGUCAUUGAAGGUGAAUGAGAAAAGUUUCCAGCGCUUACGUGACAGAGAAGUACUAACGAAGUGUUUACAAGCAUG
This is a long non-coding RNA of Chroicocephalus ridibundus (black-headed gull), 210 nucleotides long. RefSeq lists it as uncharacterized. The transcript is spliced from 3 exons. Lineage: Eukaryota; Metazoa; Chordata; Aves; Charadriiformes; Laridae. The record is from RefSeq and is a predicted model, not a curated record.